Molecule: ribosomal RNA, 500 nt
Filed under: uncultured bacterium
Lineage: Bacteria
Description: partial 16S ribosomal RNA
Rfam family: Bacterial small subunit ribosomal RNA
Source: RNAcentral
AUUGAACGCUGGCGGAAUGCUUUACACAUGCAAGUCGAACGGCAGCACGGACUUCGGUCUGGUGGCGAGUGGCGAACGGGUGGGUAAUGUAUCGGAACGUGCCCAGUCGUGGGGGAUAACGUAGUGAAAAUUACGCUAAUACCGCAUACGAUCUAUGGAUGAAAGCGGGGGAUCGCAAGACCUCGCGCGAUUGGAGCGGCCGAUAUCAGAUUAGGUAGUUGGUGGGGUAAAGGCCCACCAAGCCAACGAUCUGCAGCUGGUCUGAGAGGACGACCAGCCACACUGGAACUGAGACACGGUCCAGACUCCUACGGGAGGCAGCAGUGGGGAAUUUUGGACAAUGGGCGAAAGCCUGAUCCAGCCAUUCCGCGUGCAGGAUGAAGGCCCUCGGGUUGUAAACUGCUUUUGUACAGAACGAAAAGGUUUCUACUAAUACUAGGAGCUCAUGACGGUACUGUAAGAAUAAGCACCGGCUAACUACGUGCCAGCAGCCGCCGUAA